RNAcentral lists this ribosomal RNA (253 nucleotides) under uncultured bacterium. RNAcentral's name for it is "partial 16S ribosomal RNA". It matches the Rfam family "Bacterial small subunit ribosomal RNA", at positions 524 to 776 of the family's 1533-position model. The record is from RNAcentral.
UACAGAGGGUGCGAGCGUUAAUCGGAAUUCCUGGGCGUAAAGCGCGCGUAGGCGGCUUUGCAAGUCGGGUGUGAAAUCCCCAGGCUUAACCUGGGAACUGCAUUCGAGACUGCAUUGCUAGAGUAUGGGAGAGGGAAGUGGAAUUUCCAGUGUAGCGGUGAAAUGCGUAGAUAUCGGAAGGAACAUCAGUGGCGAAAGCGACUUCCUGGACCAAUACUGACGCUCAUGUGCGAAAGCGUGGGGAGCAAACAGG